RNAcentral lists this long non-coding RNA (1473 nucleotides) under Cicer arietinum (chickpea). RNAcentral's name for it is "long non-coding RNA (CARI_LNC001639)". The record is from RNAcentral. Lineage: Eukaryota; Viridiplantae; Streptophyta; Magnoliopsida; Fabales; Fabaceae.
AAAAGGUCAAUCCAGAAAAUACAUACUGGUUCAUGGAAAAGAAACUGUGAGUGUAAGACUUCUCAAACCAUUUGAUGUCAACAUAAUGAUAAAACUAUAUAGUAGGAUUUGCUUCUAGUAAUUCUUAAGAUUUUUGGUUAUCUUGUGAAGUGCUGAGGUGCAACUUUGUGUUACUGUAUUCCCUUAAAAACUAUAUAUGUGAAUGGUUUAUAUAACAUAAUAACAUAACAUGAUUUACAAAGGUUGCAAUACAUUUCAUAUGAAGAAACCACAGUUUCUUUAUCACUGUCAUGGAUACAAUGCCCAAAUGUUUAUGUAGUGGUUGAGAAGAGGUAUGAAUAUGACAAUGCAUUCCAAUGUCCAACAAAAUGUCCUUAAAUGUUAUUAUGUAAAAGGAAUAUUGUAUGUUGAAUGAGAUGACUAUUUUUGUGAAUGCAAGCAAUUCAGAGAAUGACAUCUUCAAGUUCUCUUCUUUUAUAUAUGGGAUCAGUUUUUUACUAUAAGCUUGCUCUGUGAAUUUUUGUAAUAUUAGAUAUAUUAUAUAUGGGAAUUCUUUUAUAUUAUAUAUUGCUUAUUUGGUGUUUCUUACCAUGUUGAAUUUUCAAUGAAUUUUUUUCCAAUCUUCUCACUUUUCCCCUUUUAAGAAUUAUUUAGAUUGUUUCAUAUGCACUUUUUAAGUACAGGUUUUCUAAUAUAAAUGAAUAGUAAAUUCAAAAUGUUGUAGAGUGUUAGAUAUCUUACCUGAUCAUACAAGAAAACUUUAUUUCUUUCUGCUUCCCAACUCCUAGUCAUUUUUAUAAGCAAAUCUACCAGAGCUGGAAAAUAGCAACCACUGAAUGUGAGCAUGUGUGUUAUUGCUGCCAGUUGGUUCAAAUUUUAUUGUGUCGGUCUUAUCAUAUAUACCUGGCAUUCUACUGACCAUUAUACGGGCACGUUCAGCUCGUCUCAAGUUUUUAUGGGCUCCUCUACUUACUGAGUAUCGAUUCUCAUCCUGAAAGUACACUUGGGUUAUGAAACAUAUUACAGAUGCAUUCAUGAUAAAAUUCUAUUUAUGAAGAUUGAUUCAAAUGAAAAUUCUAACCAUGCUGUAUUCUUCUAGCCAGCGCUCCUCAUCACGUGCUAACAUCCACUUCUCAACUUUUUCCAUUAUAGCCUUCCUGCUGGAAGCCUCUUCUCUUGCUCUUGAUAUCUGUUCAUCCAUGCUCAUGAGGAGGUCGGAAUGGUCAAUCUCCCCUUUUAUAGAUGUAAGUCAAUUUUUAGGCUGGUUUAAUUUUAAAGUGAAUAUACAUAAGCAUGUUGAAAUGUGUUGCACACAUUAGUUUGGUUCACCUGAGUUUAUGAGGCUAAUUAUAUUGUUCAUUUCUGUCCGUGAAGGAAUCUCCACGUGAGAUAUCUUGCAUAUCAACUCUAGUUCCUCCUGCUUCUUCUGGAAAAGCUCCUUGGUCUUGCUUGCUUUUAGUUGAUCUAGUCUUU